AUCAAUUGCAGCAAUUAUAUCAGAUGUAUAAGCGCCUUCUUCCCACAGGGCCUUGUACAUGGCCACAUGGGCCCGCGGAGCCACUCCACUAGCGGUUCCUGGAGCAUAGCCGAAGUAUGAUGCGCCUUCGACGAAAUUCCCCGCUGCGGUGCUCGAGGUGUGGGUCCCGUGGCCUACAGUGUCACGCGUAGAAUUCAUAGAUAGAGUGAUUUUAGGAUUUCUAGCGAUUAGACCUUUGUUGAAAAAGCGAGCUCCAAUGAGUUUGUUGUUACAUAAAGAGGUGUUGAAUUGGAUGCCACUUUCACAUUCUCCUUUCCAUCUUUCUGGAAUUUUAGAAAUUCCUUUGUCACUAUAACUCUCACUUUCAGGCCAAACACCUGUAUCCACCACCCCAAUAAUAAUAUCUUCACCAUAAUUCGACACAUUCCAUGCUCCAGCUCCAGAAUUAAAACUAAGGCCCAAAAAUGCUGGUGAAUGGGUUGUGUCGAGUUUUACAGGCAGGUCUUUGAUGGAAGAAAUAUACCCUGGAGAGUUUUUCAAGGUCUCAAGCUCAUAAGAGGAGAGAUGAGCACUAAAACCACUGAUGACAUGAGUAUAACUAUAGAGAAGUUUAGCGGAGGCAGUGAUAUUGGUGGUGCUUCUGGCUUUAGAGCCUGCAAAAACAGAAGAAAGAGUUGCCAAGUGCCAGGUACGCUGGCUAGAGAAGGCUUUGGGCA
RNAcentral lists this unclassified non-coding RNA (716 nucleotides) under Hevea brasiliensis (rubber tree). Lineage: Eukaryota; Viridiplantae; Streptophyta; Magnoliopsida; Malpighiales; Euphorbiaceae. The record is from RNAcentral.